GGGGGAAAAACUCAUCAUUUAGAAUGGUGCUCUGACAUUCACUCCCUUUCUCCCACCAUCCUUCGCCCCAGACUUCCCAAUGACCAAAACCUAAAGGCCAAUUCCUUAAGGUAUGUCUACAGGAUCAGCCACAUUCAUUCCAGGCUGAGGAAACCAACACUUUGGUGCCUCCCUGCCCCCACCUUGGGGAGGCAGCAGUGAGGUGUUUUGUUAGGGAUGUGGGGUUUUUUUUUUAAAGUGAGAUUCCCUAGUUUAACCUAAUCAAUCUGAAAGUCAUAGCUGCAGGGAGAAAGGCUCCCCUGGGACUCUGGGUGGACUUACACAUAUAAAACAUGCCCAGGUAAAGGUCAGAAUCAAAGGACGGCCUCCUACACAAAGUACAGUUUCACUUUUUCUUGGGUCUUCCCUCUAACUACGCCCCAGAGAGAAUGAUGGUGACAAAUACAAAUACAAUCACAGACCCUCAGAACUAAUUUACACUUAUGGAGGUUAAAGCACCCCCCCUUCCACCCAGCACACCCGGGGAUUCUGUGGCAGUGCCAUGGAAACAGCCCCAUACAGAGGUGAGCUGUGAUGUCCUCACCCUCUCCCAGGGAGGAGGUGACCUGAGCUUGCCACCUGAGACAGCAUGGUACAGAAGAAAGACCGAUGGAUUGUGAGUUCAUGGGUUUGGGUCUUAGCUCUAUCAUUGACUAGAUGGAUGAUCUGGGGUGAACUUCUGUACCAAGAGAUAAUAACACGGACACUACCUGCUUCACAGGUUUGUGGCAAGGAUCAAAUAAGAGAAAGUCAAGUGCGUGUAACUGAAAAGUGGUAUAGGAAGUACCACAGGGUCACUAAUGGCCUCUGCUGACUGGCCGACUGGAGAGCAAGGCUGAUCUUCAAGCUCCAGCACUGGGAUGAUGGAGGCAUCCCCACCUGCAAGAGAAAAUAUUCCCUAAGACAAAGACCCUACUACCUGAGAGGAGAUUAGUGACAUUCCGGCCACUUUAUAGUCCCAGAAAUUAUGCCAAGAAAACCAAAGCUCAGUAAAGAAUGAUGAUAACCAACUGUGAACAAGAUAACCUCUUUAAAUACCAAUGUGUAUUUCUAUACUGCCUUCCUAAAGAAACCUGAAAUGAGUUCACAAACUUCCAAUCCUGAGCUUGGCAAGAGAGAGGAAUUACUUUUUUUGUUUCAGAUAUAACAGCUAAGGCAGAGAACAAGUAUGUUUCAGGUGAAAAGUCACUACAUUAGAAAUCCAUAUAUCCUGACUCCCCAUGCCUCAUGCUGUCAGGAUUUAAAUGGACAUUCUGGCUCACAAUGUCACACCUGAACCCUCAAUCCAUACUCAGUGGGCCUUCCCACUCAUGUGACGGUUUUAUUAAACUACUGUUAUGGAGA
Long non-coding RNA from Phascolarctos cinereus (koala), 1383 nucleotides. RefSeq lists it as uncharacterized. The record is from RefSeq and is a predicted model, not a curated record. Lineage: Eukaryota; Metazoa; Chordata; Mammalia; Diprotodontia; Phascolarctidae.